RNAcentral lists this long non-coding RNA (1873 nucleotides) under Triticum aestivum (bread wheat). Its description in RNAcentral is "long non-coding RNA (TAES_LNC019552)". The record is from RNAcentral. Lineage: Eukaryota; Viridiplantae; Streptophyta; Magnoliopsida; Poales; Poaceae.
AGAAAAAGGAGAUUUGGAGGAGUUCCCUUCCACAAGAAAUCUUCUUUGAAAAUUUGCUCCGUGGUAGUUCUCUUGUUCCGUGCGCGCUACCAACAUGGCUUGCCACAAGCCAGAUCCCCUCUUCUGCAGGUACAUAUAAGCUUCAUACACUUGAUACCGAAUCAUCCAAUCCAAAAUUUACUGUCCUAUACUUGUUAGAUUGCACAUGAUUUAGUUUCUUAAUAUACACCAACUGCAUUUGUAUUGAAGUUUCUGAAGGAUGUGAUGAUAUCUCACACAUGGUGGUUUCAUAAUUGCACAUAGACUUAUACUUUUCUGAAUUAAACUGGCCAUCGUUACCAGUGUUUUUAACCUUUUUAGGAUAUCAGAGGUGGAAUUUGGCAUUGCUAGAGAAUCUGAUGUAUUUUAUUGAUUGCAUUGGUUAUGAUAUUUGUCUAUCAUGUAAAAAAAUUGUUUUGCCGAUCUAAUUAAUGUCAGCAUAUAGAUAUGCAAUCGUCUUGCUACAUGCCUAAAUGUUGUUCUCCACUUCAAGUCUUGAUGCACCGAUGAAACAUAUACUCCUCUUGUUGCUUUGUGUUAUUUUUAUUUAAGUUCUUGUAUCUAUUAAUUGAAGGAACCCUUUCAACAAGCAACAACGCCGAUUGCAAAAAGAAGACCUUGGCAGACAUGCAGGUUCGCGUAGAGAGCUAACUUAUAUCCGGUACACUCUAUUAAGUAACUCUUUCUUGUUUGGGUACCCUUCUUGAUUAGUUUGCUAUCUUGUCAUAUCUUGUUCCUUCUUGUCCCAUGAUUCUGCAUUUCUCCUACACUGCCCAUAAAAUGUGUUACUUGCACAAACAACAAAGUUUUGGUCAUGUUUCCAAAUCACUAUGUUGAAUAAUUAUACUCCACCAUUGUUAUCCUUAAAUCCAACUUGUCGGAUUGUAUGCACAAACUGUGGCUAAUUACAGGACAUGACACUCCUUUUCUCCAAUCAUGCUGCACUUUUAGAUGAAUAAAAAUAUGAUUCUUGAAUAUGUUGGGACUAGUCAAUGAACCGGUAGCACGGCGACUAACUUGGCUUCUACUUCUUCUUGACUGUUAUAAUCGCCGGAACUGUCUAUUGUGCUGCACUGCUACAGAGUAGUAUUACCUUGUCUGAAGACAUUUUAAAAUGGACUACAACAUACGGAUGUAUGUAGACAUAUUUUAGAGUGUAGAUUCACUCAUUUUGCUGCGUAUGCAGUCACUUGUUGGAAUCUCUAGAAAAGACUUAUAUUUAGAAACGGAGGGAGUACUUCAUUACCCGGUCUGACUUAUCCCAGACAUAAAAUUAGGACAAGGCUAAAAGAUGAUUGCCUUUUCAGCAUGAUAAAGAUGUCUUUCACUACUCAACAUCCUGAAAUGUUGUCAACAAAACAUGACUGAACUGAAGCAUGGUGCUUGCUAUUUGAUACCAGAUUACCAUACUAUAUAUUGACCUCUGACCAAAAUUGCAAUGACUGAACUGAAGCAUGGUGCUUGCUAUUUCUUACCAAAUUACCAUACUGUAUAUUGACCUAUGACCAAAUUUGCAAUGCUAUCUAGUAGUCCUUCAACAGAAGUGUUCCCCAAGUAUGUCAUCACUAAACCUAUUUCUGUUUACUACUUUGCCUUGUAGAUUCCUUAAAUUUGACCAACAACAGAGUUGAAGGUGGCACCUGUAAGACAAGAGCUCUUAUUUUAGGGAAAUUCUACGACAAUCUGGGCUUAAUUUUUGGGCUGAUGCAAUUCUCUUUUCAAGGACGGAUGUUCUUAAAUAUUUUGGACAAGUAUAGGUGCACACCUAUCAGAAAUCCAACAUUACUUGCGAGUUGCAAGAGAUCAUGCUUAUGUUCUUUGUAAGAUGUUAAUU